Non-coding RNA from Astyanax mexicanus (Mexican tetra), 45 nucleotides. Lineage: Eukaryota; Metazoa; Chordata; Actinopteri; Characiformes; Acestrorhamphidae. The record is from Rfam.
AAACUGGCCCUCAUCAGGGCCACCAUAGGAAAAAAAAAAUAGAGU